GCCCGAUAGCUCAGUUGGUAGAGCAGAGGACUGAAAAUCCUCGUGUCGGCGGUUCGAUUCCGUCCCUGGGCACCA
Molecule: transfer RNA, 75 nt
Filed under: compost metagenome
Description: tRNA-Phe
Rfam family: tRNA
About the family: Transfer RNA (tRNA) molecules are approximately 80 nucleotides in length.
Source: RNAcentral